ACAAGAUUUGAUCAAAAUCUGAGCUCCGAAUCUCAAAGCUCGUGAAGAGGAAAGUGUAGUACGAGUUGUCAUCGUCAUCUUAAGCUAAAUAUUGACCUUGGAAAAGGAUAAUUUCGUGGUUGAGCUACUGCUAAGGUAUAUAUGCUCUUGUACAAGCUAAGAGGAAUUAUUUGACGAAGUGGACUUUGGUUGGUCUAUGGCGUAGAUGAUUUGAACUCCUCGAGUUGUGGUAGAACUUGUUGUGUGGUAAAACGCCGAGGUAAUGUGCGAGAUGAGGUAUGAAGAUGGCCACUUGGAGUAUACUUUUGGGAGCCUUAGUGAAGAUCAC
Molecule: long non-coding RNA, 328 nt
Organism: Lycium ferocissimum
Lineage: Eukaryota; Viridiplantae; Streptophyta; Magnoliopsida; Solanales; Solanaceae
Exons: 3
Source: RefSeq, a predicted model, not a curated record